GAAAGAGACCACUUAUCAACAUGGCGGCGGGAGAGGAAGUAAAUCGGUCCAUAUUUUCGCCAUUUUCCCCCCUUAUUAAGCACCUGGGGAGGCCGUGGAGGGAGCGACGCCCCCCUGGAUACUUGAAGCACCUGGAGGACACGUGACACACACCUGACAGCCACGGGGGAACAGCGGAGGUGGUGGCGGAGUGGUCGAUCAACUCAGGGCGAUGAACAUUGUGACCCAAGUUGGAAUCCCUCUGACGGGCGACUUUCCAUCCUUCACCGAGUUGCCACGAUCACACACACACGAGGUCAACAACCCUUCGCUUCCCUUCUAAGUGUUAAACUGCUCCUGAAGUGAGGCUGAUCGCUGGCUUGUAUCACCUCCUCCAUGGGCAAGACUUCUCCAGUACAAGCCAGUGUGGAGACAAGACUUAUUAGGCCAGUCCAGAGAGCUUGUUGAAGGCUUGUAUCACCACCACCAUGGGCAAGACUUCUCCCAGUACAGGGCGUCCCAACUGGAAGACUGCAUCACCACCAGCCUCUACAAGCCAUCCCAGAAGCUUAUUAGAGGGCUGGCUGCUGAAGGGCCCCACACACCACCAGGCCUGAAAUAAGGAAGUUUUUAAUGCCAAGACUGAAGGAUUAGGCACGGUGGAUUGGUUUAAACCAUGUUUUUUUUAAAUAAACCCUAUGUUUUU
Molecule: long non-coding RNA, 685 nt
Organism: Eriocheir sinensis (Chinese mitten crab)
Lineage: Eukaryota; Metazoa; Arthropoda; Malacostraca; Decapoda; Varunidae
Exons: 3
Source: RefSeq, a predicted model, not a curated record